GUCCCUGUAGUGCAAUACAUAUCACGUUGGACUUCUAAUCCAAAGGUCGUGGGUUCGAAUCCCACCUGGGGUG
This is a non-coding RNA of Trichonephila clavipes, 73 nucleotides long. Lineage: Eukaryota; Metazoa; Arthropoda; Arachnida; Araneae; Nephilidae. The record is from the annotation of a GenBank genome assembly.